Molecule: long non-coding RNA, 242 nt
Filed under: Ananas comosus (pineapple)
Lineage: Eukaryota; Viridiplantae; Streptophyta; Magnoliopsida; Poales; Bromeliaceae
Description: long non-coding RNA (ACOM_LNC032486)
Source: RNAcentral
UCAACUAAAACAUACCCUAAUUAGGAUUCCUACUCCAAAAAAUAUUUAUAUCUAUAUUUAGUUUAUCUCAAAUAAAUUUAAAUACCUAUCCUAAUAUAUCUAGAAUUAUACUCAAAUUAAUAUUUAAAUCUUAAUUUAUCUCCAAUAGAUUUAAAUAUUAACUCUUAUCCAACUAGAAAAUCAAUUACAAAUCUAACCAAAUCCUAACAAAGCCAACCAGCAGACCGAGGAGGUUGACGACG